This 70-nucleotide transfer RNA is filed under the name Salmo salar (Atlantic salmon). It matches the Rfam family "tRNA". From Rfam's summary of the family: Transfer RNA (tRNA) molecules are approximately 80 nucleotides in length. Their secondary structure includes four short double-helical elements and three loops (D, anti-codon, and T loops). Lineage: Eukaryota; Metazoa; Chordata; Actinopteri; Salmoniformes; Salmonidae. The record is from Rfam by way of RNAcentral.
UCCCGUGUAGCUCAGUUGGUACAGCAUGGUGUUUGCAAUGCCAGGGUUGUGGGUUCGAUUCCCACGGGAG